Molecule: ribosomal RNA, 399 nt
Filed under: uncultured bacterium
Lineage: Bacteria
Description: bacterial SSU rRNA
Rfam family: Bacterial small subunit ribosomal RNA
Source: RNAcentral
UAGGGAAUAUUGCACCAUGGGCGAAAGCCUGAUGCAGCAACGCCGCGUGAGUGAUGAAGGCCCUCGGGUCGUAAAACUCUUUUCAAGAGGAAGAGGAAGGACGGUACUCUUGGAAUAAGCCUCGGCUAACUACGUGCCAGCAGCCGCGGUAACACGUAGGAGGCGAGCGUUAUUCGGAUUUACUGGGCGUAAGGCGCGUGUAGGCGGCUUAUUAAGUUGGAUGUGAAAGCUCCUGGCUUAACUGGGAGAGGACGUUCAAAACUAGUAAGCUUGAGUACGAGAGAGGAAAAUGGAAUUCCGGGUGUAGUGGUGAAAUGCGUAGAUAUCCGGAGGAACACCAGUGGCGAAGGCGAUUUUCUGGCUCGAGACUGACGCUCAGACGCGAAAGCUAGGGUAGCA